This 440-nucleotide ribosomal RNA is filed under the name uncultured bacterium. RNAcentral describes it as "partial 16S ribosomal RNA". It matches the Rfam family "Bacterial small subunit ribosomal RNA", at positions 338 to 795 of the family's 1533-position model. The record is from RNAcentral.
CCUACGGGAGGCAGCAGUGGGGAAUAUUGCACAAUGGGGGGAACUCUGAUGCAGCAACGCCGCGUGCGUGAAGAAGUACCUCGGUAUGUUAAGCCCCGUUUGCAGGGAAGAAAAUGACGGUACCUGACCCAGAAGUCCCGGCUAACUACGUGCCAGCAGCCGCGGUAAUACGUAGGGGGCAAGCGUUAUCCGGAUUGACUGGGUGUAAAGGGCGCGUAGAUGGCAAGGCAAGUCAGGAGUGAAAGCCCGUGGCUCAACCACGGGACUGCUGUGGAAACUGUGUGGCUUGAGUGCAGGAGGGGAAGGCGGAAUUCCUGGUGUAGCGGUGAAAUGCGUAGAUAUUAGGAAGAACACCGAUGGCGAAGGCGGCUUACUGGACUGUAACUGACGUUGAGGCUCGAAGGCGUGGGGAGCAAACAGGAUUAGAUACCCCUGUAGUC